RNAcentral lists this ribosomal RNA (497 nucleotides) under uncultured bacterium. Its description in RNAcentral is "partial 16S ribosomal RNA". It matches the Rfam family "Bacterial small subunit ribosomal RNA", at positions 28 to 507 of the family's 1533-position model. The record is from RNAcentral.
GAUGAACGCUGGCGGCGUGCCUAAUACAUGCAAGUCGAGCGAACAGACGAGGAGCUUGCUCCUCUGACGUGAGCCGCGCACGGGUGAGUAACACGUGGAUAACCUACCUAUAAUACUGGGAUAACUUCGGGAAACCGGAGCUAAUACGGGAUAAGAUAUUGAACCGCAGGGUGCAAUAGAGAAAUACGGCGUUGCUGUCACUUAUAGAUGGAUCUCCGCCGCAUUAGCUAGUUGGUCAGGUAACGGCUUACCAAGGCAACGAUGCGUAGCCGAACUGAGAGAGUGAUAGGCGACCCUAGAACUGAGACACGGUCCAGACUCCUACGGGAGGCAGCAGUAGGGAAUCUUACGCAAUGGGCGAGAGCCUGACGGAGCAACGCCGCGUGAGUGAUGAAGGUCUUCGGAUCGUAAAACUCUGUUAUUAGGGAAGAACAAAUGUGUAAGUAAAUAUGCACGUCUUGACGGUACCUAAUCAGAAAGCCCCGGCUAACUACGUG